CCUACGGGUGGCAGCAGUCGAGAAUCUUUCACAAUGGGGGAAACCCUGAUGGUGCGACGCCGCGUGGGGGAAUGAAGGUCUUCGGAUUGUAAACCCCUGUCAUGUGGGAGCAAAAUAGAAAGUAAGUACCACAUGAGGACCAGACGGAUAACUCUGUGCAAGCAGCCGCGGGAAUACAGAGGAAUCAAGCGUUGUACGGAAUCACUGGGCGUAAAGCGUGCGUAGGCUGUUUCGUAAGUCGUGUGUGAAAGGCGCGGGCUCAACCGGCGGACGGCACAGGAUACUGCGAGACUAGAGUAAUGGAGGGGGAACCGGAAUUCACGGUGUAGCGGUGAAAUGCGUAGAUAUUGGGAGGAACACUCGUGGCGAAGGCGGGUUCCUGGACGUUAACUGACGCUGAGGCACGAAGGCCAGGGGAGCAAAAGGGAUUAGAUACCCGUGUAGUC
RNAcentral lists this ribosomal RNA (446 nucleotides) under uncultured bacterium. Its description in RNAcentral is "partial 16S ribosomal RNA". It matches the Rfam family "Bacterial small subunit ribosomal RNA", at positions 338 to 795 of the family's 1533-position model. The record is from RNAcentral.